RNAcentral lists this ribosomal RNA (533 nucleotides) under Arctides regalis. RNAcentral describes it as "partial 16S ribosomal RNA". It matches the Rfam family "Archaeal large subunit ribosomal RNA", at positions 1901 to 2674 of the family's 2987-position model. The record is from RNAcentral. Lineage: Eukaryota; Metazoa; Arthropoda; Malacostraca; Decapoda; Scyllaridae.
AAAAACAUGUCUUUAUGAUGAUUAAUAUAAAGUCUAGCCUGCCCAUUGAUAUAAAGUUUAAAGGCCGCGGUAUAGUGACCGUGCGAAGGUAGCAUAAUAAUUUGUCUCUUAAUUGGAGGCUUGUAUGAAUGGCUGAACAAAAAGCUAACUGUCUCUGAAGUAAAGCUUGAAAUUAACUUUUAAGUGAAAAGGCUUAAAUAUAUUAGAGGGACGAUAAGACCCUAUAAAUCUUUAUAUUCUCGUUAAUAAAAUUAAAGAGUAGGUUAGUAUUUAAUUUUAUGAACUCGAAUAUUCUGUUGGGGAGACAGAGGUAUAAAAAUAAGUAACUGCCUUAAAGUUUAGGUUAAAGAUAUUUAAUUAAGUGAUCCCUUAGUAGGGAUGUUAGAGUAAGUUACUUUAGGGAUAACAGCGUAAUUUCUUUUGAGAGUUCUUAUCGAAAAAGAAGGUUGCGACCUCGAUGUUGAAUUAAAGAUCCUUUAUGGUGCAGAAGUUAUAUAAGGAGGUCUGUUCGACCUUUAAAUCUUUACGUGAUC